AUUUCAUCUGCACAGAAAAAGAACUCUGGUAGCUUCUGCCAGACUUUCAGUAGGAAAUGCUUUAAAAACAAGCAACAGCUAUUUUGAGGACCGACUUUCUAAAAUUAUAUUCAGGAUUAAGCGGCUGUAACAUUGCCGUUCGCCGCCGAGGCUCCUGGUUUCAGCAUGUCUCCUUGGUUCCCGGCCAGCCUGGGUGUUCAGGUGGCAGCUGUGCCUGGGAGUGCCUCUCCAGCCCGCAUUCCUUGGCCAUGAAUUUUGCAGCCCUGCUUAUCUGAUGAAGACCUCCCCAGGAGGCAGCUCUACUCUUUUCCAGCUUGCUAAGGACACAGUGGGGAGAUGAUGAGCUAGGAAGAUUGCUCUCAUUGGAACUCAAAUGCUGGCACUCUGAUCUUGGAUGUCCAGUCACCUGAACUAUGAAAAAAUAAACUUCUGUUGUUUAAGCA
Molecule: long non-coding RNA, 443 nt
Organism: Myotis davidii
Lineage: Eukaryota; Metazoa; Chordata; Mammalia; Chiroptera; Vespertilionidae
Exons: 3
Source: RefSeq, a predicted model, not a curated record